AAUUACGGGCAGGCGGAGCAGACCGCCCUUAAUUACCAUCACAUGGUUUCCACUCUCCAAAUUACCACUCUCAUGACACAAGCAAAAUUAUUCACCAAGACAUGGUAGGUCUAUGUUGAUUUACAAUUCUACCCCUACAUAUGUAUCAGACUGAAGCCCUAACUUUAUCAUAUCAACGUUUCCACCUCUCUCUAACUAUCCAGCUCUCUCGCAGCCUAAGAACCAGCUCCGGUGUCUCACCAAAUUUCUUCUCAAAAUCUCAAAUUAACCGAGGGAUCUUGGAGCAUUCUUCUCCUAGAGUCGAGUUCUAGCCUUUGAUCGCGUUGGAAAGCUCGGAGGAGGUGUUUUCGGGAGAGGUUUUGCCUGGAGAUUCUUGGGGUUUUAAUUUCAACCUUCGAGGUAGGGAUCUCCUGACUUCUUUACAUGUUUAAGUGUUAGUUUGAUGUACAAGAAUCAAGUUUGAUCAUUUAUUUUGAGUCUUGAAUGAAUCUGGUAUAUGCUGAAAAUUUCGUGGGUUCUGGAAAUCUGUCUUUUGGGAGCCCUUCUGCCAGGAAUCAAUUUUUGGUGUCUGAAUAACAGUUAAAGUACAUUUCAAUACAAAGAUUUCGGUACCAAGAUCAUGAAAAACCGAUAAUCACACAAUUAGUUAUGAAUUUUUGAAUACCGGCUGUUUCCUGGAUGCGCGAAUCUGUGUGUGGCUGUCUUCUUUUAAUUUUCUGGGCAUGAUGAACAUUUUGGGUGGCUUUGGGUCUUUUACAGGAGCUGCACAUUUAAGUUAAGAAGGGAUUGGCGUUGGAAUCAAGUGAUUUGGUUAAGUAUACAAUUUUUGGUGAAUUUCUAAAGCAGGGUUGGUCGACUAGGGCGAAAAUGGUUGCGAAUCUGUUUUUCCUUUGAUUGUUGGGUUAAUCUCCUCUCAUUUCUGAACCUGGAAUUUUUACUGAGCGUAGGAAUUGUAGUCGUGCAACUUUUGGCGUUGGUUCCAAUAUUUUUGGGUUUAAGAUGAAAGAGUUAUGAUUUUUCAAUCAAAUUUACUCGUUCCCGUCCUUAAAUUCACGUUGUUUAAUUGGAUAUAGUCUAAUGUGGAUAAUUAACUUUGCCAAUUUGACAUGUAGGGAAUUCUCUCCUCCUUUAUAUGUUUAUGAGUUGGUUUGAUGUGUUUAAGAAUGUUUAAACGUCCGUAUUUGUUGUUGGGAGAAAUCUGUUGAAACUAGAAAUCGUACGCUGAAACACAAGUCCUACCGAUACGAGUUUUGGCCCUACCGGAAGAAAUGUUGUCCAGUAGUGUCUAUUUUUUUGAAAUUCUGGUCUUUUACCGGUAAGAGGUUGUGUCCUACAGGUAGGGAAUGAAUAAUCUGCUUCAUUUUAAAAUUUCGGACGAUCAUAACUUUAUCUUCCGGAAUCCGUUUGGUGCAUAUUAUAUAUUAAAGUUGAUGUAUGGAAAAUCUACUUUCUAAUGGUGGUAGUCUUGUAAUCAAACUCUAAACCUAUAAGAAGUUAUAGUUAAAGUACGGUAGGUUGGUUGCUAGAAUUCAUACCGAUUUUGGAGGUUAUGUCGUAUUUGGAUAUUAAGGGUGAUUUGGUACACUCCUAAGUGUUCGAGGUAGAAACGUUAUAUGCAUUGGGCAUUCUUUGCCCUUAGAAUUAUUUGAGUGAGACACGAAUGUUCCUAGGUGCGUUUAACUAUUUGAAUGGUCUACCGAGCCUUAGGGUAGUAGGCUAGCACACUUGGGAAAAAGUUUGUCGACACCUAGAGAAAGUAGGAGGUUGAGUGGUUGAUUGUAUAUUAAAGUUGGAUCGGGAAUAUUUGAAUGACGAUGAUUGAUUAUAUUGAUGAAAUGAAAAUUUGAGUUACAACUAUUAAUUUCCUCUUGAACUAUAAAUCGGAAGGUGAAGUCGUCGUUUGUAGCUACUUGCAUGAAGUUGAGUUUCUGAUCAAUUAGUAAAUACUUGGUAGUAGAGUAAAUGGGUUGGUGACGAGAUUAACGAUAAGAAUUGUGGGAAAUGUGAUGUGAAACGGUUAGCUAAGGAUACAUAUACAAUAAGGAAUCCUGGAGCCAUGUUUGUCUUCAUUUGCCAUGUUGUUUUAGGUGGUGCUUGUUUGUUGAUGUAGUCUUUUGUUAUUUGAGAGGCAUUUCCUAGAGUGUUAUUUUUCUCCCAUUGGACUGCUCUUUUUUACAUAAGGGAUGCAAAAUUCUAGUUUUUUUUUUCUCAUUAUCUUCAGCUUUGAUCAAGUCGGAUUAAUCUUCAUGCUACUUGAGGCUUUACUUUUACAGAUUCAAGUAUUGAAGAAGAAGAUGGCAUUUUUGUGUAGAAUAUGAACUAUUUGAGGAUGUACACACAAAAGUCAGUCAGCUCCUGCAAUUUCUAUUUAUUUUUUGUGGCUCUUAUGGUUUGGUCAUUUAGUUGCACACUCCUUCAAUCAAGAUGUUGUUGCUUAUAUGGGAUCUUUAUUGUUUCUACUUUGGUCAUUAAGUUGGACAAGCUUUAUUCCAACCAGUAUUUGGGAAGUAAAUGAAAUGUUGUUAUCUUUUUCUAGCUAGUAGCUUGAGAAUCCACUCCCAUGCCCUAUAGUUUCGACAGAUGAGGAAACAGACACAUCGACUCAAAUGCUCAUACCAUGACAUAACUGUUGAUCCAAAUGACAAUGUUGGCCAUAUUGCAUAAAUUGACAUUGGCCAAUAUGUAACUCAUUUUACUUUCUUUGCUUUUAUCUUGGUGAUACCUUAUCAAUCUUUGGGCAUAUAAGCUUAUGAACUGCGAGUGUUGGCCUAGAUAGCUCUCUCGCAGUGUUGGCCAUUUUUUAUUAUUGCUUUGAAUAGUACAGUGCAUGCUUGUGUUCUUGCCAUGUUAUCUCAUAGUGUUGGCCAUUGUUAUUAUCUUCUUAUUUUUUUGAACGGUUAAUGUUAUGUACUAAGUCUUCUUUCUUGUAAUUUUAUAGGUCGAUUGGUUGAAAGAAAAGAUUGAUACUUCAUCCCUUAUGCCGAAGAUGGUGAUAUGAUAAUGUGCUAGUGUCGGUUGGGCAUUGUUCAAGCCUUUUCCUUGACGCAUAUUACUUCUUGCCGUCACGACUUGUAGUCCACUUUUGGGAUAUAUAUGUUUAAGGGUGGGCCUAGAGUCCAAUGAAUUUCCUUCAUUUUAAAGUUAACUUGUAUAGUACCUGAUGUUGAUGAAGUACAAUUUUAUUUUUGGUUUUGUAUGGAAUGGUGUGACUAUAUUUCUACUGAAUGGGUAUUAAUUAGAUUAUCCA
Rhododendron vialii is the source of this 3247-nucleotide long non-coding RNA. RefSeq lists it as uncharacterized. The record is from RefSeq and is a predicted model, not a curated record. Lineage: Eukaryota; Viridiplantae; Streptophyta; Magnoliopsida; Ericales; Ericaceae. The transcript has 2 exons.